Molecule: long non-coding RNA, 1891 nt
Organism: Zophobas morio
Lineage: Eukaryota; Metazoa; Arthropoda; Insecta; Coleoptera; Tenebrionidae
Exons: 7
Source: RefSeq, a predicted model, not a curated record
UUUAGUAGAUCUACUUCAAUUUUUUUGGUUGCAAUUAUGUUUGUGUCAAAAUUAUAGUUUUACUGGAGUAGAAAACGAUAAUCUACAAAUUAAUGAUAUCCGGUUUUUAGCGAGUGGAAAUAACUUUCUCUCGUUAGUGGCUAACUCUCCUUUUGAACUCUUUAAUGUUUUAGCAGCUUCGAACACUUCUAAAGAUUUAAUAAAUAUGGAAUUUCACAUAAAUCAGCUACUUAAGCAUCAUGGAAUUCGAGCCUUUGAAAUUGCCUUAUUUCUAAAAUUUCAGGACAUUUAUAGCGUGUUAUCUAUCAAAAAUUCUAAGAAACUCCUUUUUGGUUGUAGGUUCAUUGAACUCCUACCAAUUUUUAAAAAUUGGGUUGAUAAAAGCUUUAAUGAUCCUCCCAUAAUUAUUAUACUGAGCAUAGUGAAUGACAAUGACAUACCAGCAUUAUUUCGAAGAAAUUUUGCUAAUAAUAUGACCCUAAACCUUAAGUUAACUGAAGAUGCAAUGAAGGCUUCCUUCAAGGGGAAGUAACUACCACAAUAACCUGGCCGACUUUAAAAGAAUCGCGUGGAAAAGUUAUGUUUUGGGGGCUGGGCCUGUAGCAGUAGUUGACGAUUUGGACGUUAAAAAAAUUAGUUUCUUGGUUAAAAAAAAUUUUAUGGUUUUUACAAGAGCCGAAUGCAGUUCUAAAAAAUUAAGUUGUGCUAUAAAAUCGGGUCUCUCUUCCCGUUAACAUAAGCUCUGAAGGAGAUACAAGCUGCAUUUUUCCUACAAAAAAACAAGAUUAUGGUGUAUCCAAAAUUUUUAACUUUGCUUUUAUGCCAAAAUUCAAUGUAGAUAGCUCAAUGGAGGCUAGCACUUUCAGCUCUUUUUAUAAUUACUCUCCCUCAACGUUUGUAUUAAAUCAGCAUAACGUUUUCAGACUUAGAGGUUCCAAUCAAUUUAAAUACAAUGACAAUAUUUAUUGGACGAGCAUUGCUUUAACAGUGCUUUUAAGUUGAAAAUUUGUCAAAAUUUAUUCACAAAGGCAAGUUUCAGCGUAAAAUUUAUUCUAUUUUUUUCCUUUUCACUUUACUUUUGUGGCGCGUGCUUCUUUUUUUAUGGUAACUACCAGAUGCUAUUAUCUCUAAGAGAUCUAGGUGAUAUUCGGCAACGUAUUGUACGAGACCUCGACAACCUCCGAAAUUUAACCCUGUCGCUUGAGGAAGGAGCUUACCAACAAUCCGAUUACAAAUUUAAAGUGCCCUGUAUUUCCCUUUUUACAAAGUUUAUAGCCCUCUUAAGAAAGAGUAUUAACAAAAUUGGAAAAAUAUCAAGAACAAAUGGCAUGAAAGUGCUAGAAUACCGUCAAACUCUGGUGUAUUAUACAGAUGUUACCGUUAAAAUGAUAAACAUUCUUAAAACAAUACAUGGUCCUUGAUAUUGUCGGAUGUGUGCUUUAACCCGGAUGCAAUUGUGUCUAAAUUUUUAAAAGAUAAAGAAGAAAACUUUCAGAUUGUAAAAUACAUUUUUAAUUGUGUUGGUAAUGGGAAUGAUGAAGUUGAAAGGUAUAUUGAUAUCAUUAAAAGAAACCUUGAAGGCGCUAGUUCCCUACAGAAUACUGUUUGCCCUAAUGAAAAAAAAAAUUUCAGUAGCCAUUACAGCCCUUUCGUCCGACUCUUGGAUGAUGUAAAAAAUAGUUUGUUCAAAACUGUUUCCUGUUUAAAGCUAAAAAAUUUUUAUGUGACACUGGUUUAUGAAUUAACAUGCCAACGGACAACUAAUUCCCUUUUAUAUUUUUUUGUGGGCACGUGUUUGUUGGUCGUCGCCCUGGCAUGCUUCAUUUUUGUGUAUAUUGGACACUCUCGGUUUGUCCUUAAAAAAUAGUCCAGAAUAAAAAUUAAGUUGGAA